Long non-coding RNA from Nelumbo nucifera (sacred lotus), 832 nucleotides. RefSeq lists it as uncharacterized. Lineage: Eukaryota; Viridiplantae; Streptophyta; Magnoliopsida; Proteales; Nelumbonaceae. The record is from RefSeq and is a predicted model, not a curated record.
UUCACCCGAGCCCUACCCCAGGAGCAAGAGACCACCGGCAGCAAUUUCACCAAGCUCCGACGGCAUGGAGCCAACUGGCGAUAAGAAUAAGCAGAAUCCCUUCUUCUCAUUCUCCUUUCACCGAACUCCAACGACAUGUAAUCAACCGGCGAGACCACCGGCAAUGAUUUCAUUGUUUCACCAAGCUCCAAUAGUGAUUGCCUUCCAAUUCUGAUGGCGUGUUACCUAGCGGGAGGUUGGUGCCGCCAAGCUCAAAGAAACAAUUGUGCCUCCGAUUUUUCACAUGUUGUGUCGGUUAUGACGAACCCAAACGGCAAACGAUAUUAAAUGGAAAACAGAAAGAACCUUAUUUCCAUUGAAGGGGUAUAAGUAUUUGUUAUUUAUAUGUUCUAGGCAAAGAAGUUGAUGCCCUUGAAGUCACGAGAACAUAUGGAGAUUUCAUCGGAGCCUUUUAAUUUUGAGCUUCUUACAGUUUCUCCGAUGAAGUUAUUAUCGAGCAAAAUCCAAUUUGCUCCUAUUGGAUUAGUUGACAUGCUUAAUACCAGCAAUGCUAUUCAAUCAUUGGAGUAGGAUGACGAGACAAGUUCGGUUCGAAUUGGAGUGAAGGGAACUGGAGAGAUGAGGUUGUUUGCAUAAAAAAAAAACAAAAGUUUGUUUAAUUGAUGGUGAAGAGGUUCCAUUAAAGUUCGAGUAACACAUGGUUGUGGUUCAAGUUCCAUGGCCCACACAAAUGGAUGUUUUUUUGAAAGCCACAAAAAAUGGAUUGAUGUUUGAUUUUUAUUGAACUAAAUUUAUGUAAUGUGAAUAGUAGUAAAGUGUGCUCUGUUAUUUA